AACAUAGUCUUAGACACACAUCCAGUUUUAUGAAUCUAGUGCUGCGUAAAGAUCACAAGGACAAAAUGACUUAAUGACCAAACCUGACAAUACAUGACAAUCUUUAUGUUUUCAGAUUAACAUAAUUGAUAAGUGUGGAAGGUCAGUGUUCAGCUUUCUGUGUCAAAUGCUGUGCAAAAUGUUUUCACACCUCAGGGGUUUUCUCAGCUGUGGAUUGUCUGUGUGCAUUUUUUCUAUCUCAUGUUCUUGGCUCUGUGGUCAAACGCUAGAAGAUUAAAUAGUUACUCAAAGUGAAAAUGUGAAAUUGUGUAAUGUUUUAUUUUUUAUACAUUCAUUUCUAUUGAUAUGUUUGACCUGAAGCAUUUGGGGGGAAAAGUGUGUCAAUGUACAAAAUGAAAGAUGUCCUCUCAGAAAUGCUAAAUAUUCCCAUGGAAAUUCACUCAGUAUGGAGAGUUUUCUUUUCAUGCAUCUCUCGCUAUAAACCACACAGACAAAGCUCAGAAGUGCAGUUGGUGCUAGUUACAGUUGGAAAAUAGGAACUUGACAACAACAACAAACAACAACAAAGUACUAGUGUGGUUUGGCACUACAUGCAGUCCUCAGAGCGGGAUUUGUGUCCUGCUAAAAAAGGAGGGAAACUCUCAAAGAUGCUUCCUCCUCCAUCCUCCUCAACCUCAGGGAGCUGGCCUGCAAGUUGCCUUUUACAGUCAAGUGGUAGUUUAGAGCUCACUCCUCCUAUUGGUCAGUUUUUUUUAUGAGUCCCUCCCACCUCGUCCUGACUGGCUGAAACCUCACACCGUCUGUCACUGCUGCAGUUGAGACCAGAGACGCAGGAGUGUAAAGACUUCGACUCCCAGCAGCACAGAGGCUGAUUAUUCUCUGUAAGCUAAUCAUGUCGGGUGCUAAAGCAAGUAAAUGUUUUUCUUCAGUUGAAGUUCCCCAAACAACCUCAGCAGUACUAGCCCUCAAUGUAUGUGCCACCCGAACAACACUAUAACUAAUAUAUCGUAGUCUACUACACAUCAGUGUUAUAAUAUCAUGCUGCUGUAUCAUGACGUGCUUCCAGGACAUCCUUGACGCUAUCUCCAGUGUCCUCUGGACCGUGUAGUCCAUGGGUGUAGUCACAUUUCCCACACAUACAGUAGGCCACCGUAAUUACCUCGUCAUACAGCAGAACACACACAAUAUCAGUCCAAAUGUUCUCGUUGUGAGUGAAUAGCAGUCAUCAGUCAUUCUAACUUCAUUUAAAUGUCUGUGAGGCUGUCACAGAAUUAUGAACAUCCUGUUGCUGAUCUUUGCUCUUUGCCGCCAGACUCUCAGCGCUGCUAUGGCCUUUUUUUUAGGCAGAGAUGUCUGUGUCCCUCGCGCCCCCCCGCGGCUUGCAGUCGAACCGAGCGCUGCGCGCGGCUCAGAGAGACAGACACGAUCUGCCCCUCGCGUACCAGCUGCUAAAGGAAAAUGAAAUUUCAAACUUUGCAACUUUGACUUGGACUGAAAAACACAAUUCUGUUAAAAGGGUAGACUGCAGGCAGCUGUUUGAAAUGGUGGAGAGAGGAUGAGAGUGGUAUCACUCCAGAGAGGCUGCAGAGAAAACCAGGAGUGGAGUCCAAAGUGGAACUGGAUUCACUGGACAGGUUUUCAUGAGAAGAGGCAGUGAUCAUGUCAGUAACUGCAGCUGUGUGUUAGAACAAAUUUAUUUACAACUUUACUUUGAAUAUUGAUUGAUUGUGAUUCUUUUAAUAAGAAAACACAGACUGAAAGCAAAUGGAAGCUUUUCUACUUGUCACCCACAGAGGUUUGUUGUUUUCCCAUUGAAAUCUAGUCAAACAGGUUUGUAUGACACUUGAAUAGUUAAAAGGAUGAAAUGACAUGUCACAGGUCUGAUGAUGUGUUUAUGGAACUUAAAAUAAUAAGAUGACAAUUGGCAUGCCCAAUAAACUGUAGAACAGAAUCUCAGCCAUCACAUAGUCAGUCAAAGUCAGUUAGCCCCUUUUCCCACUGUACACAAACAGAGAUGUUAAAGGUGCUGGAACUAUGAACAACGUACAAGGAAUGGCUGUGCACAGCUAUGGUAUAGUAUCAUGGUGCCUUAAACUGAAACCAGACUGAAACCAAAAGCUGUGCUCAUCCACUAUAUUUGGUUACUAUAAAGCAGAUCAGUGUGGAAACUGAUGAUGAAGAUGAUGAAGAACUUCUUUCAGCAUUUAUCAUGACAGUGACAAAUUCUGUUUACCAGGCAAUACGAGUGUAGACAUAAAAGGUUUUUGAUGCAGUGAUUCCAUUUAUCAUCAAUACAAAAUGCUGAAAGAGUUUUUCAUCAGUUUGUUCUGAUCUCUUCAACAAAAGCAGCACAUGGAUAAUUGAAUUUUCACUUUGUGAAUUGUGUUUCCCAGCUCUUGCUCAUGUUAAGCAUGUGCUUAUAUUAAAUGUUCUAUACCUCAGGCAAGGUUUGAUGUUGAAUCUACACUUUCUGCAAACACAAUUUCAGGAGUCUAUACUCCAGUGCACAUCAAAUGCCUUUUUGUUAAAGAAACCUUUUUCCAAAGUUUGACAGGACUAAGUGCGUGUGUCUUGUCAUUUUAUUUAGACAUCUAAAUAAUCUUAUGUAUAUGUAAAAUGUGUGUACCGUAUGAAUUUUGAGUCUGUCAAGGAGAAGAAUCAGAUACAUAUCUAGUUGUUUGCUUGCAAUCAUGUAACUUUGAGCAUGAGGCCUGCUUCUCCUGCAGAAUGUACAGAAAUGUUGAGGGCAGUGAGUAUGAGCAGACAUACAUGUCACUUCAAACUGAAUUUAAAUCAUUUCUAUUGGAAUUUGAAAUGUUCAACUUGAAUAAUUGCACUGAAUUUGAAUCACAUAAUUAGAUGUUUUAUUGUUUAAGUUGCAUUGAACAACUGAAUCUGAUUAGCAUUAGUCUGGAUUUUAAUUUCAAUAAUCUUGAAACUGUAUGUGACAUCAUCAAAUUGUUUUCAUUUGUUCUGACACUGUAUUUGAUCCUUACUGAAAAUUCAACUCUCUAUAUAUAUACUUCCACAUUCAGUUCUAACAAUUCAGAUUCACUCAUAAUUCAAGUUCAAUAAUUGCAAUUCAAUUUCAGUUUACUGAGACACUCAUUCAAUCAAUGAGGAAGAGCAAUCGGGUUUAAAUUCACACAACUCUUGUUCAUGUUUUCCUCUGGACAUGGUACUCUUUGGCUACAUGAAGCGGCAAAAUUAUGAAAUCAAGACUGGUUUUUCUUAAUUGUAAUGACAACACUGAUGCUAGGUGUGUAGUUUGACAGUAAAUUAAAAUUAAAAUCCAAUAGUAUUCAAGGAUGUUAGUAUGACUGGAUGUUUGUAUCACUUAGUUUAGCAACACAUAAAAGUAAAAUAGACAAGGGAAGGUGAACGCUUCUGUUGUGUUGGAUUAUCAAGUGCAGGACAUGGCUAUUUCCCGGAGGCAGUACAUAGCAGUGCACGUUUGAUAUGUACUGAAUUUGUUUAAGUAUUGAAAUGAUUAGUUUGUUUGUUCUGACUUAGCACUAGCUGCCACACAUCACUUUGUGCCAGUGUAAUGUGUGUGACUUCAUAGCUCUGUGUCAGUGGCGUCACAUAUUUAACAUCCUUUUAUGUCAGUUUUAGUUUCACGUGCACUGGUUUGUACAUGAAGAACAGGAUGCUGCACCUGUCUGCAUCCUCAGUUGGGUAUUUAAACAUCCAUUGUCUGGUUAACAUGAAUUUGGACUUUUAUUGUGAGUAAUGUGUGAUGUGUGUAAAUACAUUGGGCACUAUGUAAAUAAAACUGGAUUGAAGUGAAUUGAGUUGAAUUGUCUGAGCAGGACAAAUGAACAAAAAGAAGCUUUUUUUUUUUUUUUUUUUUAAAAGGCAUUAAUUGGAGCUACUUUAUUGGCCACACUGCACACUGACAGUUUAUGUGUUAGCACAAUAAGUGUGAAAUAUAAAGUGACACAAAAACUGUGAGAAAGUGGGAUGUGAAAAUAUUUGUACAGAUAUUUAUAUAUGUGACAGAUCAAUGAUGGAAACUCAAUACACACCACAACUUAUUGAAUGGCUUGAUGAGUAUGAAAGUGAUACGAAUCAGGUGCCAGAGCCUUCAGUCACCAGGUGUUCACACGACCAAACACAGAGGGGAGGUUUGCUGAACCUUCACCGCCAUCUUAAAACACCCGAUGAAAGAAUAUCUCUGGGAUAGAAUGCUGCUCAUCCUUCAAGCAGAGUUCCUUAUACUUAAGAGGAUCUGUGAGCUGUUCACUGUCCUUGUGUAAUUUGUUCAUAAACAGUCUUAUGCUACAUUCAUUUAUUUUUGACAAUAUGUGUGUUAAUGUUGGGCAUGUAGAACAACUACCGGGCAUAUUUUUUCAAACAGCCUACAUUCAAACAACAAUAAAGCACCAACCUUAUGAACCAACAAAUGUAAUUUAUUCUCAGCACAACUGCUUGAGAGAUGUCUGCUUAGACGUGUCGGAGUCGCGCUAAAUGUUAAUAUGCGCUAGAGCUAUCGUUCAAACAUUUUCGAUACAGAUACGUUGAUUUCGAUAACGGCUCCUGAACAAUACUUUUUUCGACACUAAUGUUAUUAAAUCAAUUCUAACAAAGAAAAUGACAUUACAUAUUAUGGUACAAAUCUGGAGUUUUAUUUUUCAGCUUUGGCAUUUUUCCACUGAAAGCAGCUUUCCAACAUAAAAAAUAUACAACAAAUAAUUUUCAGUGCAAAAGAACAAGUGACAGUCAGUGUCUAAUGCUCACUGCUGCAGACUAAGCACCUUUAAAUCUUCCUGCAGUUGAACACGGAGCAACUUUCUGCUCGUAAAUUGUUUCCGUGCACGUUCCAAUGCUUCAUCAAAUUGGUUGUGUUGCCUUAGCAACGAUGUCCUUUUUACUAAUAUUACAUCACGUACUAUUGACAU
Lates calcarifer (barramundi perch) is the source of this 4901-nucleotide long non-coding RNA. RefSeq lists it as uncharacterized. NCBI's taxonomy places the organism in Eukaryota, Metazoa, Chordata, Actinopteri, Centropomidae. The record is from RefSeq and is a predicted model, not a curated record. The transcript is spliced from 3 exons.